AGCAGCCGCGGUAAUUCCAGCCCCAAUAGCGUAUAUUAAAGUUGUUGCAGUUAAAAAGCUCGUAGUUGAAUUUCGGGGUCAGUAGGUUGGUCGUGCCACUGGUAUGCACUGGCCUCACUGAUUCCUCCCUCUUGUAGAACCGUAAUGCCAUUAAGUUGGUGUUGCGGGGAAACAGGACUGUUACUUUGAAAAAUUAGAGUGUUUAAAGCAGGCUAACGCUUGAAUACAUUAGCAUGGAAUAAUGAAAUAGGACGAUCGAUCCUAUUUUGUUGGUUUCUAGGAUUGACGUAAUGAUUAAUAGGGAUAGUUGGGGGCAUUAGUAUUCAAUUGUCAGAGGUGAAAUUCUUGGAUUUAUUGAAGACUAACUACUGCGAAAGCAUUUGCCAAGGAUGUUUUCAUUAAUCAAGAACGAAAGUUAGGGGAUCGAAGACGAUCAGAUACCGUCGUAGU
This 450-nucleotide ribosomal RNA is filed under the name uncultured Glomus. Its description in RNAcentral is "SSU rRNA". It matches the Rfam family "Eukaryotic small subunit ribosomal RNA", at positions 569 to 1024 of the family's 1831-position model. Lineage: Eukaryota; Fungi; Glomeromycota; Glomeromycetes; Glomerales; Glomeraceae. The record is from RNAcentral.